This 229-nucleotide ribosomal RNA is filed under the name Cladosporium sphaerospermum. RNAcentral's name for it is "partial 28S ribosomal RNA". It matches the Rfam family "Eukaryotic large subunit ribosomal RNA", at positions 1 to 227 of the family's 3401-position model. The record is from RNAcentral. Lineage: Eukaryota; Fungi; Ascomycota; Dothideomycetes; Cladosporiales; Cladosporiaceae.
GUUGACCUCGGAUCAGGUAGGGAUACCCGCUGAACUUAAGCAUAUCAAUAAGCGGAGGAAAAGAAACCAACAGGGAUUGCUCUAGUAACGGCGAGUGAAGCAGCAAUAGCUCAAAUUUGAAAUCUGGCGUCUUCGGCGUCCGAGUUGUAAUUUGUAGAGGAUGCUUCUGGGCAGCCACCGACCUAAGUUCCUUGGAACAGGACGUCAUAGAGGGUGAGAAUCCCGUAUG